UACGAAGGGGCUAGCGUUGCUCGGAAUCACUGGGCGUAAAGGGUGCGUAGGCGGAUCUUUAAGUCAGGGGUGAAAUCCUGGAGCUCAACUCCAGAACUGCCUUUGAUACUGAAGAUCUUGAGUUCGGGAGAGGUGAGUGGAACUGCGAGUGUAGAGGUGAAAUUCGUAGAUAUUCGCAAGAACACCAGUGGCGAAGGCGGCUCACUGGCCCGAUACUGACGCUGAGGCACGAAAGCGAUGGGGAGCAAACAGG
This 253-nucleotide ribosomal RNA is filed under the name uncultured bacterium. Its description in RNAcentral is "partial 16S ribosomal RNA". It matches the Rfam family "Bacterial small subunit ribosomal RNA", at positions 524 to 776 of the family's 1533-position model. The record is from RNAcentral.